AUAGCUCAGUGUUAAGAGCACCUGCUUAGAAUGCAUGAGGAUCUGGGUUCAAUCCCCGGU
RNAcentral lists this transfer RNA (60 nucleotides) under Camelus bactrianus (Bactrian camel). It matches the Rfam family "tRNA", at positions 7 to 64 of the family's 71-position model. From Rfam's summary of the family: Transfer RNA (tRNA) molecules are approximately 80 nucleotides in length. Their secondary structure includes four short double-helical elements and three loops (D, anti-codon, and T loops). Further hydrogen bonds mediate the characteristic L-shaped molecular structure. tRNAs have two regions of fundamental functional importance: the anti-codon, which is responsible for specific mRNA codon recognition, and the 3' end, to which the tRNAs corresponding amino acid is attached (by aminoacyl-tRNA synthetases). tRNAs cope with the degeneracy of the genetic code in two manners: having more than one tRNA (with a specific anti-codon) for a particular amino acid; and 'wobble' base-pairing, i.e. permitting non-standard base-pairing at the 3rd anti-codon position. Lineage: Eukaryota; Metazoa; Chordata; Mammalia; Artiodactyla; Camelidae. RNAcentral also lists the same sequence under 2 other names. The record is from Rfam by way of RNAcentral.